This is a long non-coding RNA of Mobula hypostoma (lesser devil ray), 662 nucleotides long. RefSeq lists it as uncharacterized. The record is from RefSeq and is a predicted model, not a curated record. The transcript is spliced from 3 exons. NCBI's taxonomy places the organism in Eukaryota, Metazoa, Chordata, Chondrichthyes, Myliobatiformes, Myliobatidae.
UGGCACAAAUGAGCUGCCCAGGAAACAUAACCUUGUUAUAUCUAAGCUGGAGACAAACCUGGGGCAAUGAUGUCGGAACUAUCACACAGAAACACGAGACUUUACAGCUUGCAGAGUCCUUUGGAAAGUACAACGUUGUUGAAAGACGGAAGCGCUUUGUUCAUCUUUUUAAGAUCAUGCAGUUUCUGAAGUGGAUAUAAUGCCUCCAGUAUCCUUCGUCUGCCACAAAUGACGUCUACGUCUUCCAGAGGCUUUUCAGGAAAACACCACUAUACCAUCGUCAUUCAAAGUUCAAAGUAAAUUUUAUUAUCAAAGUACAUCUAUGUCACCAUAUACAACCCUGAGAUUCAUUUUCCUAUGGGCAUACUCAGCAAAUCUAUAGAAUAGUGGCUACAGCGGGAUCACUGAAAGAUCAACCAGAGUGCAGAAGACAACAAACUGUGCAAAUGCAAAUAUAAACAAAUAGCAAUAAAUAACAAGAACAUGAGAUAAAGAGUCCUUAAAGUGGGACCAUUGGUUGUGAAAAUCAUCUCAAUGAUUCGGCAGAUGAAGAGCAGAACAGAGAAAAAAAAUGGACGCUUUAACCCAAAGAAUGCAGAGUGUAUGUGAUGAUUCAUAUUACUGACAUGGAAGUCAAUUGCGAUUGAGAGGAUUAAUCAGAU